AUCUACGGCCAUGCUACCCUGAACAAGCCCGAUCCCAGCCAAUCUUGGAAGCUAAGCAGGGUCGGACCUGGUUAGUACUUGGAUGGGAGACCACCUAGGAAGACCAGAUGCUGUAGGCA
This 119-nucleotide ribosomal RNA is filed under the name Pteropus alecto (black flying fox). The record is from RNAcentral. Lineage: Eukaryota; Metazoa; Chordata; Mammalia; Chiroptera; Pteropodidae.